This 253-nucleotide ribosomal RNA is filed under the name uncultured bacterium. RNAcentral describes it as "partial 16S ribosomal RNA". It matches the Rfam family "Bacterial small subunit ribosomal RNA", at positions 524 to 776 of the family's 1533-position model. The record is from RNAcentral.
UACAGAGGGGGCCAGCGUUAUUCGGAAUUAUUGGGCGUAAAGGGCGCGUAGGCGGCCAUGCGUGUCUUCCGUGAAAUCCCCGGGCUUAACCUGGGAAUGGCAUUGGUGACUGCACGGCUAGAGUGUGUCAGAGGGGGGUAGAAUUCCACGUGUAGCAGUGAAAUGCGUAGAGAUGUGGAGGAAUACCGAUGGCGAAGGCAGCCCCCUGGGAUAACACUGACGCUCAUGCACGAAAGCGUGGGGAGCAAACAGG